Molecule: transfer RNA, 105 nt
Filed under: Escherichia coli
Lineage: Bacteria; Pseudomonadati; Pseudomonadota; Gammaproteobacteria; Enterobacterales; Enterobacteriaceae
Also listed under: 1 other name
Description: tRNA-OTHER
Source: RNAcentral
GUCCGGAUAAUUUACCAUAAUCAUUUGAAAUUAUUGCACAAAACGAACAAUUUAAAAUCCCUCGGCGUUCGCGCUGUGCGGGUUCAAGUCCCGCUCCGGGUACCA